Molecule: long non-coding RNA, 184 nt
Organism: Nothoprocta perdicaria
Lineage: Eukaryota; Metazoa; Chordata; Aves; Tinamiformes; Tinamidae
Exons: 2
Source: RefSeq, a predicted model, not a curated record
GUAGCAACAAUGAUUUUCAGAUUUCAGGAUGUGUCCAGUUAUUCCUUCUUACUAGGAGAAGAAAUUGCCUUUGGGAUCAGAGUAGCGCAUACAGGGACAAGGAGCUGAAGAACUGCUGUGGAGUGAUAUUUUUCUUGAAGUCACUUGUUCACUUUCUGGCAGUCUGCAGUGCAGAAGCAUUUUG